AUUUAGCCCCGAUUGCAGCGGAAAUCCUUUUUUUUCGGAGCGCAGCGGAGUAAAAAGAUUGCAGCGGAAAGCGGGACGAAAC
This 82-nucleotide small RNA is filed under the name Flavobacterium noncentrifugens. Its description in RNAcentral is "Flavo-1 RNA". It matches the Rfam family "Flavo-1 RNA". Lineage: Bacteria; Pseudomonadati; Bacteroidota; Flavobacteriia; Flavobacteriales; Flavobacteriaceae. The record is from Rfam by way of RNAcentral.